Molecule: ribosomal RNA, 254 nt
Filed under: uncultured bacterium
Lineage: Bacteria
Description: partial 16S ribosomal RNA
Rfam family: Bacterial small subunit ribosomal RNA
Source: RNAcentral
CUUUCUUUGCUGGCGACCGGCGCACGGGUGAGUAACACGUAUCCAACCUGCCCUUUACUCGGGGAUAGCCUUUCGAAAGAAAGAUUAAUACCCGAUAGUAUAAUGAUUCCGCAUGGUUUCAUUAUUAAAGGAUUCCGGUAAAGGAUGGGGAUGUGUUCCAUUAGGUUGUUGGUGAGGUAACGGCUCACCAAGCCUUCGAUGGAUAGGGGUUCUGAGAGGAAGGUCCCCCACAUUGGAACUGAGACACGGUCCAA